GAAGGGAACCCGGGGAACUGAAACAUCUAAGUACCCGGAGGAAAAGAAAGAAAACUCGAUUCCGUAAGUAGCGGCGAGCGAACGCGGAGGAGCCUAAACCGGAAUGCGUGCAUUCCGGGGUUACGGACUGCAUUUAGGAUUCAGUGAUGUUAACAGAACGGUUUUGGGAAAGCCGGCCACAGAGGGUGAAAGCCCCGUACGUGAAAACAGAGCUGACUGAGCAGGAUCCAGAGUACCACGAGACACGUGGAACCUUGUGGGAAAUCAGGGGGACCACCCCCUAAGGCUAAAUACUACUUAGUGACCGAUAGCGCAUAGUACUGUGAAGGAAAGGUGAAAAGGACCCCGGGAGGGGAGUGAAAGAGAACCUGAAACCCUGUGUCUACAAGCUGUGGAAGCACUUUAUAUGUGCGACCGCGUACUUUUUGUAGAACGGUCCGGCGAGUUACGCUUACUGGCAAGGUUAAGCACUUCAGGUGUGGAGCCGUAGGGAAACCAAGUCUUAAGAGGGCCAGAGUCAGUAGGAGUAGACCCGAAACCGGGUGAUCUAUCCAUGUCCAGGUUGAAGCUGCCGUAAGAGGUAGUGGAGGACCGAACCCACAUCCGUUGAAAAGGGUGGGGAUGAGGUGUGGAUAGGGGAGAAAUUCCAAUCGAACCCGGAGAUAGCUGGUUCUCCUCGAAAUAGCUUUAGGGCUAGCCUCGAUACAGAUUUGCGGAGGUAGAGCACUGAAUUUCCUAGGGGGCGUCAAAGCCUACCGAAGAAUAUCAAACUCCGAAUGCCGCGUAAUCGAUUAUCGGGAGUCAGACUGCACGAGAUAAGUUGGGCGGUCAAAAGGGAAAGAGCCCAGACCUUCAGUUAAGGUCCCAAAGUGCGCGUUAAGUGGAAAAGGAUGUGGGAUUUCGAAGACAACCAGGAUGUUGGCUCAGAAGCAGCCAUCCAUUCAAAGAGUGCGUAAUAGCUCACUGGUCGAGAGGUCCUGCGCCGAAAAUGUCCGGGGCUGAAACGCGCCACCGAAACUAAGGAACCGAAAGGUUGGUAGAGGAGCAUUGCAUGCGGAACGAAGCAGUACCGUAAGGAGCUGUGGACUGCAUGGAAGAGAGAAUGCCGGAAUGAGUAGCGAGAUAGAGGUGGGAAUCCUCUAGGCCGAAUAUCCAAGGUUUCCAGAGUAAAGCUGAUCUGCU
Molecule: ribosomal RNA, 1182 nt
Filed under: Ruminococcus sp. AF21-3
Lineage: Bacteria; Bacillati; Bacillota; Clostridia; Eubacteriales; Oscillospiraceae
Description: partial 23S ribosomal RNA
Rfam family: Bacterial large subunit ribosomal RNA
Source: RNAcentral